AAAGCCUUUGAUUUUUCUCCUAAGGAACAUAAAUUACAGUCAGUUUCAGGAAAUUCUUAUAUUGAUAAGGUAAUUUUGUUUAAUAUGGGCAUUCUUAAGAAGAAAGGGUCUACCUUUAUCCUUGCUAACCUUGACAGCAACCGUAGACUAGAGACAGAUACAUUCCAGCCUUAUGAAUCUCAGAUAGAACACCAAUAUGCUGGUAAUUCAUAGCAACUAGCAGCCUCUAUUGCCACCAUUCUUUCCACCCUGAAAAACAUUGAAGCCC
Molecule: unclassified non-coding RNA, 268 nt
Filed under: Hevea brasiliensis (rubber tree)
Lineage: Eukaryota; Viridiplantae; Streptophyta; Magnoliopsida; Malpighiales; Euphorbiaceae
Source: RNAcentral